GGGUCGUUAGCUCAGUUGGUAGAGCAGUUGGCUUUUAACCAAUUGGUCGUAGGUUCGAAUCCCACACGCCCCACCA
Molecule: transfer RNA, 76 nt
Filed under: Pseudomonas sp.
Lineage: Bacteria; Pseudomonadati; Pseudomonadota; Gammaproteobacteria; Pseudomonadales; Pseudomonadaceae
Description: tRNA-Lys
Rfam family: tRNA
About the family: Transfer RNA (tRNA) molecules are approximately 80 nucleotides in length.
Source: RNAcentral